UGUAAGGGUUUUGACUUUUUUGCUUGCAAUGUUUGAUUAUUCGUCUUAUUCAAAAAAUUAUGGAAAUAUCAUUUAUUUUGUUUGUGAUUUGCUUUAUCAUCAAAAGUACUUUAAGCACAAUUUAUUACUUUUUAUAUUUACACAAAAUUUUUAAAUAAGACGAAUGGUCAAACGUUGCAAGAAAAAAGUCAAAACCCUUACA
RNAcentral lists this microRNA precursor (202 nucleotides) under Leersia perrieri. RNAcentral describes it as "MIR812 microRNA precursor family". It matches the Rfam family "MIR812 microRNA precursor family". The record is from Rfam by way of RNAcentral. Lineage: Eukaryota; Viridiplantae; Streptophyta; Magnoliopsida; Poales; Poaceae.